AGAGUUUGAUCAUGGCUCAGGAUGAACGCUAGCGGCAGGCCUAAUACAUGCAAGUCGAACGGGAUUGGAGAGCUUGCUUUCCAUGAGAGUGGCGUACGGGUGCGUAACGCGUAUGCAACCUACCUUCAUCAGGGGGAUAGCCCGAAGAAAUUCGGAUUAACACCGCAUAAAAACACAACCUGGCAUCAGGAAAUGUUCAAAUAUUUAUAGGAUGAAGAUGGGCAUGCGUGUCAUUAGCUAGUUGGUGAGGUAACGGCUCACCAAGGCGACGAUGACUAGGGGAUCUGAGAGGAUGACCCCCCACACUGGUACUGAGACACGGACCAGACUCCUACGGGAGGCAGCAGUAAGGAAUAUUGGUCAAUGGAGGCAACUCUGAACCAGCCAUGCCGCGUGCAGGAAGACAGCCCUAUGGGUCGUAAACUGCUUUUAUACGGGAAUAAACCUUGAUUCGUGAAUCAAGCUGAAUGUACCGUAAGAAUAAGGAUCGGCUAACUCCGUGCCAGCAGCCGCGGUAAUACGGAGGAUCCAAGCGUUAUCCGGAUUUAUUGGGUUUAAAGGGAGCGUAGGCGGCCUAUUAAGUCAGGGGUGAAAGACGGUGGCUCAACCAUCGCAGUGCCUUUGAUACUGAUGGGCUUGAAUAUAGUUGAGGUAGGCGGAAUGUGACAAGUAGCGGUGAAAUGCAUAGAUAUGUCACAGAACACCGAUUGCGAAGGCAGCUUACUAAGCUAUUAUUGACGCUGAGGCUCGAAAGCGUGGGGAUCAAACAGGAUUAGAUACCCUGGUAGUCCACGCCCUAAACGAUGAUAACUCGAUGUUGGCGAUAUACAGUCAGCGUCCAAGCGAAAGCGUUAAGUUAUCCACCUGGGG
RNAcentral lists this ribosomal RNA (870 nucleotides) under Pedobacter sp. enrichment culture. RNAcentral describes it as "bacterial SSU rRNA". It matches the Rfam family "Bacterial small subunit ribosomal RNA", at positions 8 to 878 of the family's 1533-position model. Lineage: Bacteria; Pseudomonadati; Bacteroidota; Sphingobacteriia; Sphingobacteriales; Sphingobacteriaceae. The record is from RNAcentral.